This 424-nucleotide ribosomal RNA is filed under the name uncultured prokaryote. RNAcentral describes it as "bacterial SSU rRNA". It matches the Rfam family "Bacterial small subunit ribosomal RNA", at positions 355 to 796 of the family's 1533-position model. The record is from RNAcentral.
UGGGGAAUAUUGGACAAUGGGCGAAAGCCUGAUCCAGCCAUGCCGCGUGAGUGAUGAAGGCCCUAGGGUUGUAAAGCUCUUUCAACGGUGAAGAUAAUGACGGUAGCCGUAGAAGAAGCCCCGGCUAACUUCGUGCCAGCAGCCGCGGUAAUACGAAGGGGGCUAGCGUUGUUCGGAAUUACUGGGCGUAAAGCGCACGCAGGCGGAUUGUUUAGUGAGGGGUGAAAUCCCGGGGCUCAACCCUGGAACUGCCCUUCAUACUGGCAGUCUCGAGUUCGGGAGAGGUGAGUGGAAUUCCGAGUGUAGAGGUGAAAUUCGUAGAUAUUCGGAAGAACACCAGUGGCGAAGGCGGCUCACUGGCCCGAAACUGACGCUGAGGUGCGAAAGCGUGGGGAGCAAACAGGAUUAGAUACCCCCGUAGUCC